GGGACCGUGGUGUCAACGGGAACACGCCUGCCCUGCAAGCAGGAGUUGAGGGUUCGAGUCCCUCCGGCUCCACCA
Molecule: transfer RNA, 75 nt
Filed under: Thermomonospora curvata
Lineage: Bacteria; Bacillati; Actinomycetota; Actinomycetes; Streptosporangiales; Thermomonosporaceae
Also listed under: 2 other names
Description: tRNA-Ala
Rfam family: tRNA
About the family: Transfer RNA (tRNA) molecules are approximately 80 nucleotides in length. Their secondary structure includes four short double-helical elements and three loops (D, anti-codon, and T loops).
Source: RNAcentral